CCUACGGGAGGCAGCAGUGAGGAAUAUUGGUCAAUGGGCGCGAGCCUGAACCAGCCAAGUAGCGUGAAGGAUGACUGCCCUAUGGGUUGUAAACUUCUUUUAUAUGGGAAUAAAACAGGGUAUGCAUACCCUCUUGUAUGUACCAUAUGACUAAGGAUCGGCUAACUCCGUGCCAGCAGCCGCGGUAAUACGGAGGAUCCGAGCGUUAUCCGGAUUUAUUGGGUUUAAAGGGAGCGUAGGUGGAUUGUUAAGUCAGUUGUGAAAGUUUGCGGCUCAACCGUAAAAUUGCAGUUGAAACUGGCAGUCUUGAGUACAGUAGAGGUGGGCGGAAUUCGUGGUGUAGCGGUGAAAUGCUUAGAUAUCACGAAGAACUCCGAUUGCGAAGGCAGCUCACUGGACUGCAACUGACACUGAUGCUCGAAAGUGUGGGUAUCAAACAGGAUUAGAUACCCCAGUAGUC
Molecule: ribosomal RNA, 460 nt
Filed under: uncultured bacterium
Lineage: Bacteria
Description: partial 16S ribosomal RNA
Rfam family: Bacterial small subunit ribosomal RNA
Source: RNAcentral